This is a non-coding RNA of Pelobates cultripes (western spadefoot toad), 239 nucleotides long. The record is from the annotation of a GenBank genome assembly. NCBI's taxonomy places the organism in Eukaryota, Metazoa, Chordata, Amphibia, Anura, Pelobatidae.
CCAGAACGUCCCUGUGGAUUAACGCAGCCGUCGCUGCCUCUGUGGAGAAGGCACUCUCCAAGGUACGAGCUACAGCUCCAGACGUACCAAAACCUACCCGCAGGCCACCACGCCAUGAGUCGGAUUCUGAUAUGUCCGACUAUCAGACCAGGGAUGACUCCCGCCCUAAGAAACGCCAUGAGAAAGGCGAAGAUUAUGCACCCAAACCACCCAAGGGUAAGGCACCUGCCAAGCGCAAG